RNAcentral lists this ribosomal RNA (421 nucleotides) under uncultured bacterium. RNAcentral describes it as "partial 16S ribosomal RNA". It matches the Rfam family "Bacterial small subunit ribosomal RNA", at positions 360 to 773 of the family's 1533-position model. The record is from RNAcentral.
AAUAUUGGACAAUAGGGGCAACACUGAUCCAGCCAUGCCGCGUGUGUGAAGAAGGUGUUCGGAUUGUAAAGCACUUUAAGUUGGGAGGAAGGGCAUUAGGAUAAUACCCGGAAGUUUUGACGUUACCAACAGAAUAAGCACCGGCUAACACUGUGCCAGCAGCCGCGGUAAUACGGAGGGUGCAAGCGUUAAUCGGAAUUACUGGGCGUAAAGCGCGCGUAGGUGGUUCAGUAAGAUGGGUGUGAAAUCCCCGGGCUUAACCUGGGAACUGCUUUCCUAACUGCUGAGCUAGAGUACGGUAGAGGGUAGUGGAAUUUCCUGUGUAGCGGUGAAAUGCGUAGAUAUAGGAAAGAACACCAGUGGCGAAGGCGACUACCUGGACUGAUACUGACACUGAGGUGCGAAAGCGUGGGGAGCAAAC